CCUCCUCCUUGGGAGUUGGGAGCAAGGAUAGAAGAAGAGAAGAAAAGCGGGGAAUGGCAACAUCUCUGAGUACACCCAAGCUAGGCACUACCCUCACUUUCCAAACCCUUUCGCUCUGCAAAAAGUUCCCAAAUUUUCCCUCCUAUCAAUUCAGAACCCUAGACGUUGGCGUUUUUCUCUCUAGCGGCCGAUGGAGCCACUCCUUUCUACGCUGCCGCCCCAUCAGCACCACUACUCCCCGGGCCGAAUCUACAAAUGGUGCUGGCUCCGAGCCAGAUCGUAACUACGACUUUGACCUCUUCACCAUUGGCGCUGGUAGCGGCGGUGUCAGAGCUUCGCGCUUCGCUGCCAAUUUCGGGGCUUCUGUUGCCGUUUGUGAGCUUCCUUUCUCCACUGUCUCCUCUGAUAUCACCGGCGGCGUCGGCGGCACGUGUGUUCUUCGUGGAUGCGUACCGAAGAAGCUACUAGUCUAUGCGUCCAAGUAUUCUCAUGAAUUUGAAGAGAGUUGUAGUUUUGGAUGGAACUAUGAAACUGAGCCCAAACAUGAUUGGAGUACCCUGAUUGCGAACAAAAAUGCAGAAUUGCAGCGCCUAAAUGGCAUCUACAAGAACAUUUUGAAAAAUGCUGGUGUCCAGUUGAUUGAAGGACGAGGAAAGGUUGUGGACCCUCACACAGUGAAUGUCAAUGGAAAACUCUACUCUGCAAAAAACAUACUUAUUUCAGUUGGAGGACGCCCAUUUAUUCCAGAUAUUCCUGGAAGUGAAUUUGCUAUUGAUUCUGAUGCAGCCCUUGAUUUGCCAUCAAAACCCACAAAAAUUGCAAUAGUUGGUGGUGGAUAUAUAGCUGUUGAGUUUGCUGGCAUUUUCAAUGGCUUAUCAAGUGAAGUCCAUGUAUUUAUAAGACAGAAGAAAGUCUUGAGGGGCUUUGACGAAGAGAUCAGGGAUUUUGUUGGAGAACAGAUGGCAUUGAGAGGAAUUGAGUUCCACUCCGAAGAGUCACCUCAGGCUGUUGAAAAAUCAUCAGAUGGCACGUUCUCUUUGAAGACAAACAAAGGAACAGUGGACGGUUUCUCUCAUAUCAUGUUUGCAACAGGACGUAAACCAAAUACAAGGAAUUUGGGACUGGAGGAUGUUGGAGUCAAAUUGACAAAAAAUGGAGCAAUUGAGGUUGAUGAAUAUUCCCGUUCGUCAGUUCCAUCAAUUUGGGCUGUUGGAGAUGCUACUGAUAGGGUAAAUUUGACUCCAGUCGCCUUAAUGGAGGGUGGGGCACUGGCAAAAACUCUUUUUGCUAAUGAGCCAACAAGACCAGAUUACAGAGCUAUACCAUCUGCCGUGUUUUCACAGCCACCAAUUGGGCAAGUUGGUCUCACUGAAGAACAGGCCAUAAAAGAAUAUGGUGACGUUGAUAUUUUCACAGCAAACUUCAGGCCAUUAAAAGCAACUCUCUCUGGUCUUCCAGAUCGAGUUUUUAUGAAGCUUAUAGUAUGUGCAAAGACAGACAUUGUCCUGGGGUUGCACAUGUGUGGAGAUGAUGCCCCAGAAAUUGUGCAGGGUUUUGCAGUGGCAGUGAAAUCUGGCUUGGCAAAAUCAGAUUUUGAUGCAACAGUUGGUAUUCACCCAACAACGGCAGAGGAGCUUGUCACAAUGAGGACACCAACACGAAAGGUUCGAAGGAGUGUGCCUGAGGGAAAGACAGACUCCGAGAUUAAAGCCGCUGCUGGAGUUUGAACUAGUUGGCCAAGCAAUUUGUGCGAUGCAUAACAUUCAAAGUUUGGAGGGUUAAUCUUUCAGACAAGGAAACUUAACAGUGCCUGGUGGAUAUAGAAAGUACGGAAGUCAUUCGCAAUCAACAGUUGGCGUGGAAGUUUUAUGCAUGGCAGAUCCGUGAGAUCUCCCCUACAUCACGUUGUACAUAAGAUGUCCCUGACAUGAUAUUAUUAUUGUCUGGAGCAGCCACGAUGGUGGUGAAGUCAACCGGUGUUUGUAGAUUUACUUUGUUGAAUAAUUUGCAAGAUUGCCUGCAAAUAGAGCAGUUAAUAGGUUCUCUUCCCUUUGGUGAUUGAGCUAGGAACGAAAUUUAUAAAGGACUUGUUAAACCAGAUUUCGUGAGUGUAUAAGAACGGUUCUGUUACAAGUGUUUCUUUUAUAUUUAGUAAAUUUUCUAGUGACGGAACGUGAUGGCGUAA
RNA transcript from Coffea eugenioides, 2185 nucleotides. It is a transcript of the gene named glutathione reductase, chloroplastic, with no coding region annotated. The record is from RefSeq and is a predicted model, not a curated record. The transcript is spliced from 11 exons. NCBI's taxonomy places the organism in Eukaryota, Viridiplantae, Streptophyta, Magnoliopsida, Gentianales, Rubiaceae.